Molecule: small nucleolar RNA, 87 nt
Organism: Brassica oleracea var. oleracea
Lineage: Eukaryota; Viridiplantae; Streptophyta; Magnoliopsida; Brassicales; Brassicaceae
Rfam family: Small nucleolar RNA Z122
About the family: Z122 is a member of the C/D class of snoRNA which contain the C (UGAUGA) and D (CUGA) box motifs. Most of the members of the box C/D family function in directing site-specific 2'-O-methylation of substrate RNAs.
Source: Rfam
ACUGGGAAAUGAUGAUAAAGAUAUCGAUAUGUCAUAGGCACAUGCAAUGCUGAACCAAACAUAUUUGCACGUCAGUCUGAUCCCAUU